RNAcentral lists this ribosomal RNA (1420 nucleotides) under uncultured bacterium. RNAcentral's name for it is "bacterial SSU rRNA". It matches the Rfam family "Bacterial small subunit ribosomal RNA". The record is from RNAcentral.
GAGUUUGAUCAUGGCUCAGGACGAACGCUGGCGGCGUGCUUAACACAUGCAAGUCGAACGAAGAGCGAUGGAAGCUUGCUUCUAUCAAUCUUAGUGGCGAACGGGUGAGUAACGCGUAAUCAACCUGCCCUUCAGAGGGGGACAACAGUUGGAAACGACUGCUAAUACCGCAUACGAUCUAACCUCGGCAUCGAGGAAAGAUGAAAGGUGGCCUCUAUGUAUAAGCUAUCACUGAAGGAGGGGAUUGCGUCUGAUUAGCUAGUUGGAGGGGUAACGGCCCACCAAGGCGAUGAUCAGUAGCCGGUCUGAGAGGAUGAACGGCCACAUUGGGACUGAGACACGGCCCAGACUCCUACGGGAGGCAGCAGUGGGGAAUCUUCCGCAAUGGACGAAAGUCUGACGGAGCAACGCCGCGUGAGUGAUGACGGCCUUCGGGUUGUAAAGCUCUGUUAAUCGGGACGAAAGGCCUUCUUGCGAAUAGUUAGAAGGAUUGACGGUACCGGAAUAGAAAGCCACGGCUAACUACGUGCCAGCAGCCGCGGUAAUACGUAGGUGGCAAGCGUUGUCCGGAAUUAUUGGGCGUAAAGCGCGCGCAGGCGGAUCAGUCAGUCUGUCUUAAAAGUUCGGGGCUUAACCCCGUGAGGGGAUGGAAACUGCUGAUCUAGAGUAUCGGAGAGGAAAGUGGAAUUCCUAGUGUAGCGGUGAAAUGCGUAGAUAUUAGGAAGAACACCAGUGGCGAAGGCGACUUUCUGGACGAAAACUGACGCUGAGGCGCGAAAGCCAGGGGAGCGAACGGGAUUAGAUACCUCGGUAGUCCUGGCCGUAAACGAUGGGUACUAGGUGUAGGAGGUAUCGACCCCUUCUGUGCCGGAGUUAACGCAAUAAGUACCCCGCCUGGGGAGUACGACCGCAAGGUUGAAACUCAAAGGAAUUGACGGGGGCCCGCACAAGCGGUGGAGUAUGUGGUUUAAUUCGACGCAACGCGAAGAACCUUACCAGGUCUUGACAUUGAUGGACAGAACUAGAGAUAGUUCCUCUUCUUCGGAAGCCAGAAAACAGGUGGUGCACGGUUGUCGUCAGCUCGUGUCGUGAGAUGUUGGGUUAAGUCCCGCAACGAGCGCAACCCCUAUCUUAUGUUGCCAGCACUUCGGGUGGGAACUCAUGAGAGACUGCCGCAGACAAUGCGGAGGAAGGCGGGGAUGACGUCAAAUCAUCAUGCCCCUUAUGACCUGGGCUACACACGUACUACAAUGGGAGUUAAUAGACGGAAGCGAGAUCGCGAGAUGGAGCAAACCCGAGAAACACUCUCUCAGUUCGGAUCGUAGGCUGCAACUCGCCUACGUGAAGUCGGAAUCGCUAGUAAUCGCAGGUCAGCAUACUGCGGUGAAUACGUUCCCGGGCCUUGUACACACCGCCCGUC